RNAcentral lists this ribosomal RNA (376 nucleotides) under uncultured Legionella sp. Its description in RNAcentral is "bacterial SSU rRNA". It matches the Rfam family "Bacterial small subunit ribosomal RNA", at positions 283 to 651 of the family's 1533-position model. The record is from RNAcentral. Lineage: Bacteria; Pseudomonadati; Pseudomonadota; Gammaproteobacteria; Legionellales; Legionellaceae.
GUAGCUGGUCUGAGAGGAUGGACAGCCACACUGGGACUGAGACACGGCCCAGACUCCUACGGGAGGCAGCAGUGGGGAAUAUUGGACAAUGGGGGGAACCCUGAUCCAGCRAUGCCGCGUGUGUGAAGAAGGCCUGAGGGUUGUAAAGCACUUUCAGUGGGGAGGAGAGGUUGCAGGUUAAGAGCUAGUGAAUGAGACGUUACCCACAGAAGAAGCACCGGCUAACUCCGUGCCAGCAGCCGCGGUAAUACGGAGGGUGCGAGCGUUAAUCGGAAUUAUUGGGCGUAAAGGGUGCGUAGGUGGUUAGRUAAGUUAUCUGUGAAAACCCUGGGCUUAACCUGGGGGAGACAGAUAAAACUGUCUGACUAGAGUAUGG